UACCCGCAGCACAAGUGGUGGUCAUUAUUAUUGGGCCUAAAGCGUCCGUAGCUGGCCUGUUAGAUGCCUGGGUAAAUCGAUGCGCUUAACGUAUCGAACUCCGGGUAGACCGGCAGGCUCGAGACCGGGAGAGGUGUAGGCUACUCGGGGGGUAGGGGUAAAAUCCUGUAAUCCUUCGGGGAGGACCAGUGGCGAAGGCGCUACACUAGAACGGCUCUGACAGUGAGGGACGAAGCCCUGGGGCGCAAACCGG
This 253-nucleotide ribosomal RNA is filed under the name uncultured bacterium. RNAcentral describes it as "partial 16S ribosomal RNA". It matches the Rfam family "Archaeal small subunit ribosomal RNA", at positions 474 to 727 of the family's 1478-position model. The record is from RNAcentral.